This 443-nucleotide ribosomal RNA is filed under the name uncultured bacterium. RNAcentral's name for it is "SSU rRNA". It matches the Rfam family "Bacterial small subunit ribosomal RNA", at positions 26 to 518 of the family's 1533-position model. The record is from RNAcentral.
AGAACGAACGCUGGCGGCAGGCUUAACACAUGCAAGUCGAGCGCCCCGCAAGGGGAGCGGCAGACGGGUGAGUAACGCGUGGGAACAUACCCUCCGGUUCGGAAUAGCUCAGGGAAACUUGGAUUAAUACCGGAUACGGCCUAGCGGCGAAAGAUUGAUCGCCGGAGGAUUGGCCCGCGUCUGAUUAGCUAGUUGGUGGGGUAAUGGCCCACCAAGGCGACGAUCAGUAGCUGGUCUGAGAGGAUGAUCAGCCACAUUGGGACUGAGACACGGCCCAAACUCCUACGGGAGGCAGCAGUGGGGAAUAUUGGACAAUGGGCGCAAGCCUGAUCCAGCCAUGCCGCGUGAGUGAUGACGGCCUUAGGGUUGUAAAGCUCUUUCGCUAGGGACGAUAAUGACGGUACCUAGACAAGAAGCCCGGCUAACUUCGUGCCAGCAGCCGC